Molecule: ribosomal RNA, 514 nt
Filed under: Iberodorcadion sp. IBE JGZ-3731
Lineage: Eukaryota; Metazoa; Arthropoda; Insecta; Coleoptera; Cerambycidae
Description: partial large subunit ribosomal RNA
Rfam family: Bacterial large subunit ribosomal RNA
Source: RNAcentral
GGCCUUUUGGGUAUAAUUUAAGGUUUAGCCUGCCCCCUGAAUAUUAAAGGGCCGCGGUACCCUGACCGUGCUAAGGUAGCAUAAUCAUUAGUUUUUUAAUUGGAAGCUGGAAUGAAUGGUUGGAUGAGAAAAUAACUGUCUCUAUUUAAUUUUUAUUGAAUUUUAUAUUUAAGUAAGAAAGCUUAAAUUUUUUUAAAAGACGAGAAGACCCUAUAGAGUUUUAUAAAAAAAAAGAAGUUAUUUUUUAUAGUAUUUUAAAUUUAAUUUUUUUUAUUUUAUUUAGUUGGGGCGAUUGAAAAAUUUAAGAAACUUUUUUUAAGAAAUUACAUUGAUAUAUGAAUAUAUGAUCCAUAAAGUAUGAUUAUAAGAUUAAAUUACCUUAGGGAUAACAGCGUAAUUUUUUUUGAGAGUUCAAAUCGAAAAAAAAGUUUGCGACCUCGAUGUUGGAUUAAAAUUAAUUUUUGGUGUAAAGGCUAAAAAAUUAGGUCUGUUCGACCUUUAAAAUUUUACAUGA